This 485-nucleotide long non-coding RNA is filed under the name Polistes fuscatus (common paper wasp). RNAcentral's name for it is "uncharacterized LOC122513838". Lineage: Eukaryota; Metazoa; Arthropoda; Insecta; Hymenoptera; Vespidae. The record is from RNAcentral.
AUUUACUUUCUAGCAACAUUGUAGUAUUGAUCAUUUUACAAAGCGUUUUAAAUGCAUAUAAGUACGAAAACAGGUGGUUAUUCCCAACAAUUAGAAAAAGGGGUGCGAUACAUUUAAUUUCAUACAUUCACUGACAUGCGCAGUAGCGUCUUCUUUCAGAGCAGGUCUUCUCAGUUGUACUGUAACCGUAGUGCAGUACAGAUGUUUAGAAAAUACUUGUAAGCGAUGGAAAAACAGGAUCGAUACAGGAAUAAGCUGAGUGUACAAGAAUACAAAAGUAUUACUGGUAACUCUAAAAUCUGAAAAUAAAAAAUUUAAUCGAAUGAUAUAUUUAAAUGAAAUUUGUCGAGAUUAAAAAAAUUUCAAAAGUUUAAAUAAACAAGUCAUAAUACCAAAAGAAAAGCCUGCAUUGUAUAAAGAAUUAAAUGACUGUAAUUUAAAUUUGUCAAAUGUGACAAAUAUGUCUAACGUUUUACUUACAUAAA